GAUGAACGCUGGCGGCGUGCCUAAUACAUGCAAGUAGAACGCUGAAGGAGGAGCUUGCUCUUCUGGAUGAGUUGCGAACGGGUGAGUAACGCGUAGGUAACCUGCCUGGUAGCGGGGGAUAACUAUUGGAAACGAUAGCUAAUACCGCAUGACAACAGUUAUUGCAUGAUAACUGUUUAAAAGGGGCAACUGCUCCACUACCAGAUGGACCUGCGUUGUAUUAGCUAGUUGGUGAGGUAACGGCUCACCAAGGCGACGAUACAUAGCCGACCUGAGAGGGUGAUCGGCCACACGGGGAGGGGAACCGGGCCCAGGGUCCUCAGGGAGGGAGCAGAAGGGAAUGUGGGGCAAUGGGGGGAAAUCUGGCCGAACAAGCCGGGGGGGGGGAAGAAGGUGUUGGGUGCGGAAAGACUGGUUGUAAGAGAAAAACGGGUGUGGGGGGGGAAGGUGCAACAGGGGAGGGUAUUGUAACAGAAGGGGAGGGCAAAUAAGGG
Molecule: ribosomal RNA, 494 nt
Filed under: uncultured bacterium
Lineage: Bacteria
Description: partial 16S ribosomal RNA
Rfam family: Bacterial small subunit ribosomal RNA (bases 13-378)
Source: RNAcentral